AGUGACUUUAUGUUUAACGGCCGCGGUACUCUGACCGUGCAAAGGUAGCGUAAUCACUUGUCUUUUAAAUAAGGACUAGUAUGAAUGGCAUCACGAGGACUUAGCUGUCUCCCUCAUCUAAUCAGUGAAACUGAUCUCCCUGUGAAAAAGCAGGGAUUUUUACAUAAGACGAGAAGACCCUAUGGAGCUUUAAACCAAAAACUACCUGUUUAAUCUACUGUGCUAAGAUAGUACUAAAACAACUGAUCUAGUUUAGGUUUUCAGUUGGGGUGACUGUGGAGAAAAAUAAAUCCUCCAUGCAGACUUAAGCUUUGAGCAACCGCUCUACGCAUUAGCAAGUCUAACUGCACUUGAUCCAAUCUUUUUGAUCAACGGACCAAGUUACCCUAGGGAUAACAGCGCAAUCCAUUUUAAGAGUCCAUAUCGACAAAUGGGUUUACGACCUCGAUGUUGGAUUAGGACACCCGAGUGGUGCAGCCGCUACUUAAGGUUCGUUUGUUC
RNAcentral lists this ribosomal RNA (501 nucleotides) under Scutiger boulengeri (Xizang alpine toad). RNAcentral describes it as "partial large subunit ribosomal RNA". It matches the Rfam family "Bacterial large subunit ribosomal RNA", at positions 1911 to 2582 of the family's 2925-position model. Lineage: Eukaryota; Metazoa; Chordata; Amphibia; Anura; Megophryidae. The record is from RNAcentral.